This 495-nucleotide ribosomal RNA is filed under the name uncultured bacterium. RNAcentral's name for it is "bacterial SSU rRNA". It matches the Rfam family "Bacterial small subunit ribosomal RNA", at positions 29 to 518 of the family's 1533-position model. The record is from RNAcentral.
AUGAACGCUAGCGACAGGCCUAACACAUGCAAGUCGAGGGGCAGCACAAGGAGCAAUCUGAGGUGGCGACCGGCGCACGGGUGAGUAACACGUAUGCAACCUGCCUGUAAGCGGGGAAUAACCCGUUGAAAGACGGACUAAUACCGCAUAAUACUAAAUUACUGCAUGGUAAUUUAUUUAAACAUUUAUGGCUUACAGAUGGGCAUGCGCAUGAUUAGCUAGUUGGAGAGGUAACGGCUCCCCAAGGCAACGAUCAUUAGGGGUUCUGAGAGGAAGGUCCCCCACACUGGUACUGAGACACGGACCAGACUCCUACGGGAGGCAGCAGUGAGGAAUAUUGGUCAAUGGACGAGAGUCUGAACCAGCCAAGUCGCGUGCAGGAAGAAUGUCCCUAUGGAUUGUAAACUGCUUUUGCAGGGGAAUAAAGUGCAUCACGUGUGAUGUUUUGUAUGUACUCUGAGAAUAAGGAUCGGCUAACUCCGUGCCAGCAGCCGC